Molecule: ribosomal RNA, 233 nt
Filed under: uncultured bacterium
Lineage: Bacteria
Description: partial 16S ribosomal RNA
Rfam family: Bacterial small subunit ribosomal RNA
Source: RNAcentral
UGAGUAACACGUAAACAAUCUACCCUUGAAUGGCGAAUAACCAAUCGAAAGGCUGGCUAAUACGCCGUACUCUCCCUUGAAGGCAUCUUCGAGGGAGGAGGGAUCCGCAAGGAUCGUUCUUGGAGGAGUUUGCGGCCCAUCAGCUAGUUGGCGGUGUAAUAGACCACCAAGGCUACGACGGGUACCCGGCCUGAAAGGGCGGACGGGCACGAUGGCACUGAGACACGGGCCAU